GUUUUGAAAUAGCCGUCGGUUCACGAUUUAUAAUUUCUAUGAAUUUACCUGACGAUUGAAAGCAGGGGCGUAGCACAGCUGAAAUUGCUAAUAGUUUACCUCCAUCAAGUCGAUAAGUGGGUGGUAAAGUUUUAAACGCUCUCAGUCGUCUCGAAGAACAACUACUUACAAUUCUAUUUCGUUAUGAAAAGAUUGCUCAAAGGCUCUUAAUAAUCAACAUCAUUACUUAGCGGAAUCCACGACAUGCAGAAGAGGCUUCAAACAUUGGCAGCAUGGGAAAGAACCCAACUUAUAACAAAGCGGCAUAUGCAGUUUUCCGGCCUGUCCGAGAACCCAAAUUUAAAUAUAAAUUUUGCAAGCCAUAAGACUGACCAUUUCAUUCAAAGAUGUGGAAAAUGCCACACACAAACCAGAACUCUGAUCAGGAGCCAAAGGUAUGCCGUUUCUUCGUGAGGAAGGACACACAAGAUAACUGCCGGAAAGAUGAAAUAAGGAGAGGAGGAGAAUGUCUAUGUAAGGAAUGAAUCAAGUUUAUUUCCUCACCCGAAGAAGAGAGAAAUCUGAGGAAUUUAAUAACUUUAAUAACAAAAGCGAAGAUCAACUGUGCGGAUUCCUGCCAGGUGCUGGAGACGUACAUACAAAAAUACAAGAAAAAAUAUAAGCCCCUAUAAUAUUUUACCUGCAUUUACAGGCAUUUUUCCCAAAUCUUCAAAAUUGGAUGGAUUUUAUACAUUUUUUUCUAAAAUCCUAUAAAGUUAUGGGUUUUAUUUUUUUCGUGUU
Molecule: long non-coding RNA, 780 nt
Organism: Drosophila biarmipes
Lineage: Eukaryota; Metazoa; Arthropoda; Insecta; Diptera; Drosophilidae
Exons: 2
Source: RefSeq, a predicted model, not a curated record